UUAGAUUCAUGGACCCAAUUAAGGACCCAGCUCUCAUUCUUUUGGAAGGGGGUCACACUUCCAGUGGCUCAUUUUGUUCUUUUUCUAUUUUCUCUUGUCCUGAAACGCGCACGGCAGAAGGAAGCUUCUUUCCUUUCUCUUCUCCUUUUUCAUGGACAACGGUGAGAGUGUAGUGAUGGAGGUGAGAGACGCGACAAGGUUGCGGCGAGAUGCGACGAGUUUGCGACGGAGGCGAGGCGAUGACGGAGCGGUGGUGUGACGAGGUUGAGAUGACUAUGCGAAGACGUUGGCCGUUCGGAUUCGCGGCGCAAGUUCCUUCCCCUCCACCUUUCUCUAUUUAUCGUUUAAGCUUAGGGAUUUUUCCUAAUUUCGUAUAAGGACGCAGGUGUUACCAAUAAAGGAGUAUUUGAAAAUGCGUAUUCAGGAACAAGCUUGAUGAGGAUGGAAACAUCACAAAAAAUAAAGCAAGACUAGUUGCAAAGGGCUACUGUCAAGAAGAAGGUAUUGAUUACGAUGAAACUUAUGCACCAGUAGCCAGGUUAGAAGCCAUUAGAUUAUUACUUGCAUAUGCUUCUUUGAUGAAAUUUAAACUAUAUCAAAUGGAUGUUAAAUGUGCAUUUUUAAAUGGUUUUAUAAAAGAGGAAGUUUAUGUUAGUCAACCUCCUGGUUUUGAAGAUUUCAAAUUUCCUGAUCAUGUUUAUAAAUUGAAAAAGGCCCUUUAUGGUCUUAAACAGGCACCUAGGUCUUGGUAUGAAAGACUUAGUACCUUUUUGAUUGACAAUAGAUUUUCUAGAGNNNNNNNNNNNNNNNNNNNNNNNNNNNNNNNNNNNNNNNNNNNNNNNNNNNNNNNNNNNNNNNNNNNNNNNNNNNNNNNNNNNNNNNNNNNNNNNNNNNNNNNNNNNNNNNNNNNNNNNNNNNNNNNNNNNNNNNNNNNNNNNNNNNNNNNNNNNNNNNNNNNNNNNNNNNNNNNNNNNNNNNNNNNNNNNNNNNNNNNNNNNNNNNNNNNNNNNNNAGAAAUUCUUAGAAAAUUUGGAAUGGAUAACUGCAAGGAAGCUAGUACACCCAUGGGCACCUCUUGUUAUUUAGAUAAAGAUGAAAAUGGAAAAGAAGUAAAUGAAACCAUGUUUAGAGGAAUGAUAGGGUCUUUGCUAUACUUGACUGCUAGUAGACCAAACAUUAUGCAAAGUGUAUGUGUAUGUGCUAGAUAUCAGGCCAAACCAAAGGAAUCACAUUUAACUGCAGUNAAAAGAGUCCUAAAAUAUCUUAAGGGAACUACCUCUUUCGGACUUUGGUAUCCCUCUGAUGCUUCACCUAGUUUAAUAGGAUAUUCUGAUGCAGAUUAUGGUGGCUGUAAAAUUGAUAGAAAAAGUACUAGUGGUACUUGUCAUUUCUUAGGAUGUUCUUUAGUGUCUUGGCACUCAAAGAAACAAGCAUGUGUAGCCCUGUCUACCACAGAAGCUGAAUAUAUUGCAGCUGGGAACUGUUGUGCUCAAAUCUUAUGGAUGAAACAACAACUUGAAGACUUUGAUAUUUUCCUUGACAAUAUUCCUCUAAAAUGUGAUAACACCAGUGCUAUAAACUUGACAAAAAAUCGCAUAAUGCAUUCAAGAUCUAAGCACAUAGAAAUUAGACAUCAUUUCUUAAGAGACCAUAUUCAAAAGGGGGAUUGUCAAAUUGAAUAUGUUGAUACUUUGCAUCAGUUAGUUGACAUCUUUACCAAAGCUCUACCUAAAGAUAGAUUUUUUGAACUUAGAAGAGAAUUAGGAGUNUUAGACAUGUCCUAGGAUCAAAAUCCAUGCAAAAAUUUGCAUUUUUCGUAAGUUUAAUAAAUUAUAAUCGAUUAUCAAUAAUGCAUAAUCGAUUAUUUAGUCUUAAAAUGCAUUCUGGAAAUCUUUGAGCAGAUAAUCGAUUAUCAUCAGACAUAAUCGAUUAUCAUACAAUUCUGGGCAGAAAUAAAUGAACUGAUAAUCGAUUAUCUCGAGCCAUAAUCGAUUAUCACGCAAACAGAUUCAAAAAUAGAGCCGUUGGAGCGUCUCAUAACGGCUAUAAACGGCCAUAAACGACUAGUUUUUCCAUUUCUCUUAUAAAUAGGCCCCCAUAAUCGAUUAUUAGACACCUCUUUGCAACCCAUUGCUGCUAAAAUCAAAAUCCAGAGCUCAAAAUUUCCUUAUUCUUCUUUCACUUCACAAACCUUCAUACUUUCCAUGGCUGAACCAAGAAGGUAUCGUCGCAAGACAGCUGGGGAUCCUUCUUCCUCUCAACCAAGACUUGCUAACAUAAAUGGGUGGAUCUCAGAUCAAGAGAAACAUGAAGACUUCAUCAACUCCUGGCAAGAAAGGAAAAUCAUGGCGGUAAAGUAUAUCCGUCUUGAUUUCUUUCGCUUUUAUGGAUUUCAAUUCCCAAAUACUUUUGUUGAGCAGGGGUUAGCACAUUUCGUAGAACAAAAAGGAAAUAUUUAUCCCGAUCUCCUAAGAGUUUUCUAUUUCAACUUGCGCUAUCGAGAUGGGAUAAUUUCUACCAAGGUCAAAGGUGUUUGCAUCAUUUUAGAUGAUGACGUUUGGACAAAUGUUGCUCAACUCCCUAUUUGGGAUGAUGCUGUCAAAGUCCAUUUAGGACUUGAAGACUUUAACAGGAUGCUNACUUUUCAAUCCUUUCUGCGACAUCCUGAGAGGCAAACAANUAGAAGACAGCUACUGGUUGGAGGUUUCAAAGUUGAAGAGAGGAUGAUCCAUUACUUGAUUGUCUGGAUUCUCUGUCCUAGAGCAACCAACCAUGCUCAAUGCUCUGAACAGGAUUUACUUCUCCUAUAUGGGAUUUUAAAUCACAUACACAUCGAUUGGCCUGCUCUCAUUGCUGACACCAUGGUAAAAGCCAAAAAAAUCUCAUUCCUAUCAAUUUCCUUAUGCUCUUCUNAUUUCUAGGAUUUUAGAAUAUAAAGGAGUACCUGUUGAAGGAGAACUUGUUCAAACAAUUGAAGCUGUGGGUUCUGAAAUUGGAGAUACUACUUUNNNCCAGAUGGGAUUCAUUACCAGGGGUCGUGUCCUUAUUCACAAAGAUGAUGACCAUCCUNAUGAUGAUGAAGAUGAUGAUAUGGAUACUCANANGGCUGACCCAGUCAAUGCUGCUGCUCCGUCUGAUGCUGGACCCUCUAACAUACCCUCNUCUUCCUCAACUUCUAUGGAAGAACACUUUGCGAGAUUAUCUAAACAGAUAGAGGAUAUGUCUCUAGCCCAGAAAACUCAUUUUGAUGACAUUCAUGAGUGGCAGAAAUCUAUGGAUGAGUAUCUUGUUGAUCAAUUUCUUGAGCUUGAUGUUCGCAUCCAUAACAUUGAGUCUCAUCUUAAAAUUCCACCCACUGAACGUUCUCCUAGUCCUGAAUUCUAGUGUCGUUUUAGGAGUCUAAGUUUUUUAGUUGUUAACUGUAGUUUUUAAGACUUAGUCUUUAUGCAUUUUGAUGCUUUUAUCUUCAUGUACUUUCCUUUAUCUUUAAUAUAAUGAGCUUAUUUUGGACAUUUGAUGCCUUUGUUGAGGGGGAGCUCAUUUUAAGGGGGAGAUUUCUUUUCUUUAUUCUUUUUGUUUCUGAUCAAAAAAGGGGGAGAAGAAAUUUAUUAAGGAGAAUAAACUUGAACAGGUACUGCUAACCUUGUUGCUGUUUUUAGUCUAUAUGUAUUGCAGGAAAAACUGAGUUGCUUUUUAAAAGAAUUUUUGAUCAUCAUCAAAAAGGGGGAGAUUGUUACCAAUAAAGGAGUAUUGGUAAAACCUGAAGACAAGUUUUGAUGAUGCUGCAAAUUGUAAAUUUUUGUUUGUAAUAGGAGAUUAUUUAAAAGCAACUUGUAGUCUCUUGAAUGUAGUAGGAAAAUAAUUAACAUUGUAAUUUCUACUGAUAUAAUCGAUUAUGAACAUGCUACAAUCGAUUAUCAUAUGCUUUUGAACUACAAUANUCGAUUAUCAUAUGCUUUUGAACUACAAUAAUCGAUUAUCAUGAAGCAAUAAUCGAUUAUCACAAGUCUCACUUGAAUAAUCGAUUAUCACUUACAAUAAUCGAUUAUCUCUUUUUGAAUUUUCUAUAACAGACUUGAAUAAUCGAUUAUCACUUACUAUAAUCGAUUAUUCAUGGCAGUUGUGAGCUGACCUUUGGCAUUCAGCGUAUUUGGCUAUUUAAAUGAAUUUUGAAAUCUUCAGAAGUAAUAUUUUUUUAGUAAACUGAGAAAAGCCAUAACACUGAGUAGUCAGAGGAACGUUCUUGAGAAAGCUUUUUUGUUUACUGUGUUCCCUUGCCUGGUCUUGUGGAAGGAGAGACUUACGUAUCGUGUGCUGAUACAAGAAGUGGACUCUCUUCAAGUUGGCAGGGCUCUCUACCUGAUCUUGUGUAAGGAGAAGCACGUGAAUCGUGUGUCGAUUGCCGGUGCAGGUUCUCUUCAAGUUGGUAGAGUCGUUUCUUUCAUUCUAUUCCUGUUUAUUAUCUUGUAAUCUGUUAAACAAAUUUUUAGUGGAACUGUUAAUCACUCUUUGUAGUGAUUAACGACUGGACGUAGAUUCUGUUGAAUUGAACCAGUAUAAAAAUCCCUGUGUGAUUUUCUUUUGCCCUAUACUCAUUUUAUUAUUAACGCACGUUAUCUGCUUGGUAAAUUUUCUGAAAGAAAAUCGUUUAACUUAUAAAGGCAAAAUUGUUUCAACUGUGACUUGUUACGCUGUACGCUCUCUGUAUUUUAAUCCGCUGCGCUAAACUCUUUUAAAAAUUAACCCCUCCGAUACCAACAGCAGGUUGGGUGUGAACGAUGUUGCUAGGACGACAAAGGUGGCGGUGACGCGUGGUGAGUAAGGCCGGCGUUGCCACAGAGUGAAUCGUGUCCCGAUUCGGCAUUUUAGGGUUCCCGAGCUUGUUCUAAAAUUGGGGAUUUGGGGGUUUUGACUUUAGGGUUCCUGAACUUGUUUCUANAAUUGGGAAAUUUGCAANCUGUUCUUGCAAAUUGGGGNUUAGGUUUUCAANUGGGGAUUUUUGAUUCUGUUGUUGCGUCUCUGAUCUUGAAAGUUUUGAAUUCUUUUGAAUAUCUGUUGUUGCAUCUUUGGGGUUUGAUCUAGCGAUCACUCUGCUGUAUUUUGUGAUAUGUUUUUAUGCGUUAUGGUUUCGGUUUGUGGUGACGGUGCUGGUUGCUCACCAGC
Molecule: long non-coding RNA, 5163 nt
Filed under: Vigna radiata
Lineage: Eukaryota; Viridiplantae; Streptophyta; Magnoliopsida; Fabales; Fabaceae
Description: long non-coding RNA (VRAD_LNC016979)
Source: RNAcentral